CCUACGGGAGGCAGCAGUAUGGAAUUUUGGUCAGUGGGGGAGAGGCUGAACGAGCAAUGCCGCGUGAACGAGGAAGGUCUUCGGAUCGUAAAGUUCUGUUGAAGGGGGAAAAGAGCGGAGAGAGGAAAUGGUCUCCGAUUGAUAUUACCCUUCGAGGAAGUCACGGCUAACUACGUGCCAGCAGCCGCGGUAAUACGUAGGUGGCGAGCGUUAUCCGGAUUGAUUGGGCGUAAAGGGUGCGUAGGCGGCCUGCUAAGUCUGGAGUGAAAGGUACCGGCUCAACCGGUACAGGCUCUGGAAACUGGCGGGCUAGAGAGCAGGAGAGGGCGGUGGAACUCGAUGUGUAGCGGUAAAAUGCGUAGAUAUAUGGAAGAACACCAGUGGCGAAGGCGGCCGCCUGGCGUGUUACUGACGCUGAGGCACGAAAGCGUGGGGAGCAAAUAGGAUUAGAUACCCUGGUAGUC
RNAcentral lists this ribosomal RNA (464 nucleotides) under uncultured bacterium. Its description in RNAcentral is "partial 16S ribosomal RNA". It matches the Rfam family "Bacterial small subunit ribosomal RNA", at positions 338 to 795 of the family's 1533-position model. The record is from RNAcentral.